Molecule: long non-coding RNA, 152 nt
Filed under: Anas platyrhynchos platyrhynchos (common mallard)
Lineage: Eukaryota; Metazoa; Chordata; Aves; Anseriformes; Anatidae
Description: lncRNA (ENSAPLG00000022375.1)
Source: RNAcentral
AGAAGAUGAACUACCAUCAAACGAAGCAUCAAAAGGAAUUCAAGCUUACUUGGUCAUAGUCUGGACAUCACAUUUUUAUAGGAACAAAGGAAGAUGUGGUAUGCCCUUCACAUAUGCUCAUAUUAAAAAUUUACUAGAUGGUUACAACUAAA